GUGCCAGCAGCCGCGGUAAUACGUAGGGUGCAAGCGUUAUCCGGAAUUAUUGGGCGUAAAGAGCUCGUAGGUGGUUUGUCGUGUCUGCUGUGAAAACCUUCCGCUCAACGGAAGGCCUGCAGUGGGUACGGGCAGACUAGAGUGCAGUAGAGGAGUCUGGAAUUCCUGGUGUAGCGGUGGAAUGCGCAGAUAUCAGGAGGAACACCGGUGGCGAAGGCGGGACUCUGGGCUGUUACUGACGCUGAGGAGCGAAAGCAUGGGGAGCGAACAGGAUUAGAUACCCUGGUAGUCCAUGCCGUAAACGGUGGGCGCUAGGUGUGGGGGUCUUCCACGACCUCUGUGCCGUAGCUAACGCAUUAAGCGCCCCGCCUGGGGAGUACGGCCGCAAGGCUAAAACUCAAAGGAAUUGACGGGGGCCCGCACAAGCGGCGGAGCAUGCGGAUUAAUUCGACGCAACGCGAAGAACCUUACCAAGGCUUGACAUGCAUUGGAAGCCUCUAGAAAUAGAGGUCUCUUUGGACACCAGUGUGCAGGUGGUGCAUGGUUGUCGUCAGCUCGUGUCGUGAGAUGUUGGGUUAAGUCCCGCGACGAGCGCAACCCUUGUCCUAUGUUGCCAGCACGUUAUGGUGGGGACUCAUGGGAGACUGCCGGGGUUAACUCGGAGGAAGGUGGGGAUGACGUCAAAUCAUCAUGCCUCUUAUGUCUUGGGCUUCACGCAUGCUACAAUGGCCGGUACAGAGGGUUGCGAUACCGUGAGGUGGAGCGAAUCCCUUAAAGCUGGUCUCAGUUCGGAUCGAAGUCUGCAACUCGCCUACAUGAAGCCGGAAUCGCUAGUAAUCGCGGAUCAGCAACGCUGCGGUGAAUACGUUCCCGGGUCUUGUACACACCGCCCGU
RNAcentral lists this ribosomal RNA (894 nucleotides) under uncultured bacterium. RNAcentral describes it as "bacterial SSU rRNA". It matches the Rfam family "Bacterial small subunit ribosomal RNA", at positions 505 to 1397 of the family's 1533-position model. The record is from RNAcentral.